RNAcentral lists this long non-coding RNA (206 nucleotides) under Elaeis guineensis (African oil palm). RNAcentral's name for it is "long non-coding RNA (EGUI_LNC010251)". The record is from RNAcentral. Lineage: Eukaryota; Viridiplantae; Streptophyta; Magnoliopsida; Arecales; Arecaceae.
UUUCAAUAUGGUCCACCCAUUCAUUUUACCAACAAACGGUGUUAGCUUUCUCUCUCAAUGGAUGAAAAUAUCCCUCUUAUAGGUGGGCUUGGAGGGGAAAGAGAAUAAGAAGGAGAAGUGAAUGCGAAAGGAGAGAAGGGGAGAAGAGUCACUAGCAAAGAAAGGAUUGGAGCAGAAGGAGGACAGGAAGGAGAAGAGGUUGGGGA